GCUCCCAUAGCUCAGUUGGUCUAGAGCAUCAAGCUUAUAUAAUCACCGCACGAAGUGCAGGUUAUAUAUGCCUCUUGGAGGUCGACGGUUCGAUCCCGCCUGGGAGCA
Molecule: non-coding RNA, 108 nt
Organism: Aspergillus coremiiformis
Lineage: Eukaryota; Fungi; Ascomycota; Eurotiomycetes; Eurotiales; Aspergillaceae
Source: the annotation of a GenBank genome assembly